GUGGUUUGCGUUGUAAGUCAGUGUCUCAAGUGUCUCCAGUGUCUUUGUGGAUUUUGGAUUUUUGGUUCAGUUGGAUUUUGCCUCUUGUGUUUUUUGGGAUUUUUGAGUUGGACAUUUGGAAAGUAAGUUUUUGUUGUUUUUAGUGCCUUUGAAAUAAAUCUGUUUUCAUUCUGCAUUUUGGGUCCUUCCCUUUUUUUUGUUUUACUGUAGGGUUGUGAUUCUUUUCACUGUUACAGGGUUUUGACUAUAUACAAUAAAGUAUUUUACAAAGCUGAGUACUUGUAAAGUACACAUACAGUGAUUCAUCUUUGAACUUGUUCUGUCUUACCUACGAAUAACAUUUUAUGCAUUCUUCUUCAAAAGACUUGAGGCAAAACACUGAUUUCAGCUUUUCAUUUGGUUAUGUCCCCCACAGCUCAUAUGAACAACUCACUUAAUGUCUAACAGGAGCCAUGACUUGUGGUGGUUCAGCACAAAUAGCAAAAGCUGCAGCCUUCAAACAAGCAAUUCAGCACUGAGGUAUGCAAACUAACGAUAAGGUAUGAGUUCCAAUAAGAGUGCAAUGCAUGGGAAGUACAGCGGGUAAUGGGCUGAAACAAAAUCAGUGCAGUCACUUUAGAUGCAAACAGCAGGCAAACAGAAGGAGAGCGAACGGUUAAUGCGACUUCAAACAGUCUGAUGAGACACAACUCUUGCCAUAACAGCGUCCAUGAGCACGCUUAUUCCCUACAAUUCACUGCAGCAUUAGUGCCAUUACAAUAUAAAGGUGUUAAUGGCAUAGAUAAUUUGAUUGUUUAGAUGUAUUAAAGUAGCAUCCAGAGGGUACAUGGGGACAUUUCCAUAUGCAGAGGUGAUUUUUAUAGCUGGAGUACAAGCAAUGACAGCCAGAAAAGCUCCAGCACUGUACAGACUGAUGGGUCUCUUUCUAUUUCUCUCUGGUGUCAUUGUAGGGACAGCUUUGAUGUUCAAUUUUUAAAUGUGCCAAUGUCAAUCGACUGACACCCAAAGGUGAGCCAGAGUGGCAUCAAAUGAUGACAGUAUGAGGAUCUCAAUCAUUAACUGCAAGAAUCAAUAAGGAAGAGAAUCUAUAUUAAAGUCAUUAAAACUGACUUAGUACGCAGUAAAUUCAGUCUGGAUUUGACUAAAGCUGCUUUGAAAUGUAAGGAUAUUAAAGGAAGACUCGAGGUAUAAUACAUUCACAUUUCCAGCAUACCUCCCUUCACAGUCUCAGGUCUUUUUUAAAACCUAUUUUUACUCCACAAACAUUAUAGAACAAACCUAAAACAAAGAGGAGGAGGUUAUAUAACUGCACUUGUUUUUUUAUAGACUCUGCUGUGAACACAGUUUUAAAAGAGGAAUAUUUCAGUAUUGAUCAUUUUUAUUACACAUACCUAUGUAACCAUGUUGUUUGCUGAAUAAAUGCAAGUGUUCAUGUCGUCCAUUUUGGGGACUGCAGUCAAAAACAAACAGGUGAAAACUCGACAAAAACACGUCAGAAGAAAUUAGUUUGAAAAAAGAAAAAAAAGAAAACUACAACUAACUCAAUUUCUGGCAUUGCUUUUAUCACUGGUACUCAUCCAGCAAACUCGUAUGUUAAAAUACACACAGACUGUGCAAGUCGAGGCUGUUUCUGACCUAAUUUUUGGGUUGCAUGACUGAUUUCGAGGUCAGGCUUCAUUGCAUGUCAUUUGCCAUGCAGUUUAAAGGGGAGCAUUGGGGUAGAUUGCACACAGACAUGCUGCUUCUGCCUGAUGGGAUGAAAUUCUGGUAUGACAGAACUUUUAGUCAGCCUCAAAUUCACUAUUGUGAUUUUUUCCCCCAAACUGCAUCUGUGUAAAAUGGUAGACAGCAUCUGAAUGCAUCAUGGAAACAUACAGUACUGUGUGGGAACAAAUAGCAACCACCCGUAACCCUUUAAGCAGAUAAUGUUUCCUUUCUUGACAAGGAGUAAGAAAUAUUCCCAUACUUAAUGUAGCAGAUGUGAAUGCUUAGUUUAACCCUGUAUUAUACAAGAAGUAUAGCUCUGUUUGGAAUUAGUUGUGUGCGUAAGAGUGCAUGGAAGGGCAAGGAAGUGACAAAAGGUGAGCAGUCGAGUUUGUGCAAAGAUAAUAAAGCGUGCAACUUCUCAAAAAUAUGCUGCAAGUAAAGUGAGAGGGAGUUAACCACAGAGUUAGUAUCAACUAGAGCACAGGAGCAGACCAGUAAGACUCCUGUGUGCUUUCUGACUAAGGUCGGGACGCAAAAGCAGGAAAGAUUAACACCUCAUUAAAGUAAUGACCAAAAUACCAUACCUUUAAAACUAAAAACUGAAAGAGAUAAGCUCAAAGAGGAACUAACUACAAAGACCGAAAGUGCCAGUUUAGCUCCUAGUUGUUUGUCCUCUGUCCUGAUUUCCCAAGUAUACUGUGAGCACUCAGCUCACACUUAAAAAAUGAACUUUAGCACUUUUGGUACAUUUUAGUCACCCAAAAAAAAUGGUUCACAUUCCAUAUUCAGCAUCUUAACACUGCCACUAAAUGCAGAGGGGGUAUUUCAUUGUGAAACAAACUGUCACUUUGCUGUGCAAGGCAGACCAGGCUGACAGAGCACACUGCAGAAUGUAAAGGAAGUCAUGGCGGGGACACCGUUUGAACCUUUACUUCUCUCAUAGCCCGCUAAAAAUGGUGCAACUUGUCUUCAGGAAUUAGCAGCACUUGCGAGCUAUAGUUGUGUAUUGUAAACCAUUUAUUCUGCUUUUCUGCCACACCAUUCAUAGAAUUGCAUGUUGUAUGUCUGGAGACUGACUCAAAUGACUAUUAUAUCCAGCUAUAGGAUAAAUAUAGUAUUUACUUUUACAGUUAAAACGGGGAUAGCCACUGUUGAGUUGUUAAGUCAUGAUGGUUUUGAUUUACUCCUGAAGAAAAAAGACAGAAAGUCUUAUUCUUUUUUGACCUCUUUUAUCCUGCAAAUACUUUCCCACUUUAUUGCAACUGUAAAAACAUAGUAUCACUGUCAGACAUGAGCAUUUAGUCCUGAGGUAGCUGGUAGCUGUAAAAGGCAGCAAAAAUAAAUAUAGUUUCUGCUGUAGCUGCUUUUCUGCUUUGCUGUAGAGAUCAUGGGAAAACGCUGGUAUUGAUUUUAGUCUGAGUCAUGGCCGGCUUAAAAAAGAAAAAUCCUCACUUAAACUUACCUGUACAUGAGUAUUCAGUUUUAGACAAAUAUUUAGUCUUAUCCACUACUUUUCAAAAACUUUCCGUACAGUUUCAAAACUGACGCUUAGGGGGGCUUUGUCUCCCACUCACUGAUGGUGAGGGAAUCAUUUCAGCAUGGGAUCAACUAUGUGUGUCUAAUUGUUCCUUAUUAAGACCAGGUGUGGGAAGCUCAUACCCUCGGGUGCCAGUGCUCCAUGCUGACUCAUUAUCUCACCAUCAGAGGUAUCAAGUGGAUUUUUUAGUGUUUGUUCUUGUUGCGUAGGGGUGUCGGCAGAGGCACCACUAAAACCUCUCUGGUACCAGGCGAGUCUUUUCUAGCUUCUUGUGUUUCUCUGUCCCAAGGCAUCCCUGGCUUUUUGUGUUUUAGUUCAGGGGCUUAUACUUGGUCUCCCUUAAAGUUUAGUUUCCAGUCAGCUGCUCAGCAGGGGUAGUUUGGAUAGUUUAGUUUAGUUCCCACUCCUCUUGACUUCAGAAGUGUAUUCUACGAUUCAGCGCUGCAGCUUUUUCACUCAUAAGGAAAUAUUGUGAAGCCCUUUCAUAAUCAAGUUUGGUGCUGAUAAUGUCUAUUUCUGUCCUCACCUCUCUUUCUAAAGACAUUUGACACUGAUUUCAACUUAAACAAGUGAUUCAGGUAUUCCAUAUAUAAUGUUUGGUUAUGUCAGUGAAGUUUCCUUUGUUUUUAGCAUAUUCAUGUCAUUUCAUGUCAUGUCUUUCCUGUUUUAUUUUGAAAUCACUAAACCCUGUCUCUGUUUCUAGAUUUGCACCCCUGUCAUGUCACACCUGCAUCCUGAUUGUCUCUCCCCACCUGUUUCCCAUCACCCUCAUUGCCUCGUGUAUUUAACCUCAUGUCUCUCGCUGUCUCCUCUCCAGUUCAUUGUAUUUCACUGUCCUCGUUCCAUCACUGUUUGUCAUAAUCAUAGACAUUUCCGUGUUUGAGCGUCCCUGUUUUUUUGCCUCACGCUUUUCGAAUACAUCUGCCUGUUCUGACUGAAUUCCUGUGUACCAACCUCUGCUUGUUGUUUGGCAUUUGUGUCCUGUCGCUCUGUUGCCAUGAUCAUAACAGGGACAUUUUCCAGAUACUUGGAGCUUAAAAUUGAAUGCUGCUUUUCCGUGUUUAGUUCUGAUAUUGGGUACAGAAAGCAGACCUGUCCCAGACCACCUGAGCUGUAUGGAUAGUUUGUUAAUCUUAGAAAAUCACUGAUGUAUUUUGGCCUGGAAGCUGCUCAUUGCUUUUCAGUUCUCUUCCUUAUUAUGGUUUAACUGAAGAAAAUUAAGGUAUAUCCACACAUUGAUUUGUACGAGGCACUUAAUCAGGGCUUGAACAGGGCUAUGGAUCACCUGCUUACAUUGUUAAGUACAUCUGUUGGUAAUCUGACUUGUGUUAUUUUAGGCCAGUGGGAACAUGUGGAUAUCAAACAGAAAAGGCUCCGGGAUAGAGCCUUGGGGAACUCCACAUUUAAUUUGUGUCCAUUCAAAUGUGAAGUUAGAGGAAGACACAAAGUAGUUUUGAUUGAUUUGAAUCACUUGAGUACUGUGCCGGGAAGUCUCCAGUUCUUAAAGGCAUAACCUACUUGGCAAAGUAAGGAUGGUGAUCAAUUAGGUAAUGUCUGGCAGCCAAAAUACCAAACACCCAGCUAGCAAAGCUCCCCUCCUUCUUGCAGAAACAAAGAGACAUCUAAAGUACUUGGAAGACCGAAUCUACUCUGAGGACAGACAAUUCAACUCAUGUUCACACCAUUGAAAGACACUUAGACCAGACCUGCAACCUUGGAAUCCACCUGCUUAUGCAAAGAAAACAAGAUCCUCAAACUUAGGACCGACAACCUGUUAUAAUUAGUCUAAAAUAUAGAUAUUCUCAAGUCUUAACAAUGUUCAUAUGUUCAUUAUUUGCCUGACACUGUGAGAUGGCAUUUAUUAUUCGGUUUGAACAGUUGUCUGAGGUACAACACAACAGCAAAAAUAUAUAUUUCAGCAGUGCUGUUUAAUGUUCUGCAUGAUUACCUCUUCCCCUGCAGUCUUUGCCGACAUGUUUAGCCAAUAUGCAUCUGUUUUCCCCUGCUGAGAGUCUUAGGACUUAGAGGAGGUUUGGAGGAAUGGAUUAACUGAGAGGGAAAUGGGGCUGUGAUGGGAUGAGAUGAGGCAACAGCAGGUGCUGAGGAGGCAGACCGUCUGAUAGAAGCUCCUCUGGGACCGUCUGUGCAUUAGUGCGUCCCGUAGUGGUAAAUGUGUCCCUCUGUCUGUACAGGUAGAUAGCUCCGAGAGAAGAACUCAGUGUUUGGCGCCUUGUGACGAAGAAGUCUGGUCUGUGUUCUGGAUCACUUGUUAAGCUCUCAACAUAUGCAUUACCCCAGGGAGAUACACACCAGACAGUGAGUCACGUAUAAAUAAAGCACGAUGAAUGCAAAUAGAGAACACUCUCUGGAGGUUUUAACAGGUGAGAUGAGUGAUUAAAGAGGCUUUGAAUACCAUGUCUACAGCUAAAUGUGCAGAUUAAAGCAUCGGAGAGAGAGAUGGCAUCAUGGGAUGUGACACGUAUAGUGAGUGCCUGUAGUUAGCUGUGUUGUAGGGAUCCCACAGGUACAACAAUAAAAGAUCAUUUGAAGAAUAAAGCAGUGAAAUCUACCUCACUUUGCACGACUAGAAGAUCCCUCAUUCUGCCAAUCCAGCUGAAUGAAAUCCACCUCAGGGGAACAAAUGCAGUGAUUUAUUUUUAAAUGUUUUCUCAGGUGGGACUGAUAAACAUGCCAAAACCCAAUGAAACACUCCCUUCCCUUGGGGAGUGUUUAGGGGACUUUCCUCAGCGCACUCUGGGAACAACUUUAGUCUGUCAUCUGUUGUUUCCUUGAUCCAUACUUCACCCGAAAGUUGUUCAAUAUCUGCCAACUUGACGGCCCUCUCAUUUGCAUAAUACUAAACUGUUCUCUGGGGAUAGCAGAGGUGAUGGGUGGGGAGACCUUGAAGAGCCAUUAACAGGUCCACCCAAGAGGAACCUUUACAAAAGUCUUCAAAUGGCUGACCCCUUUCAUUGGGUACCUUUUAGUCUGAUCUGCUGUUGCAGCCUAUCGCACCAAAAGGUUAAAAGUAGGGCUGUCAAAUGAUUCAUCUUGUUGUGAGUAAUCGUGUAAUUGCCCACAAUGAACUUGCAGUUAACCACACAUUAUUUUCACAUUUUGUAAUAUUUUCUAAAUGGGCCCAAAACCAGUAUUUUCUGAGUGUUGAAUACUUUGAUACACAUUGAUGUAGAUAACUAUGAUUACUCCUUAUUGUAAUUUGAAUAUUUGCUUCAAAAUUUUAAAACAUUGGUAUUUUUGAGCUGACGCUAGCAUCAUUCGACAAGUUUUUGUAGUUUGUGUACUUGUGUGUUUAGUUGAUUUACUUCAUCUUAACCUUCUUUUUAAAUGUUAAUGUCGACACAAAUGGAUUAUGCAUCAUACAUGAUUUCACUGCAUCCAGCCUGAAUGAAUAAACUGACAAAAAGACUACAAAUACACCUUUGAUAUGAUCAGGGCAAAGGGUGUACAUUUUGAUGCACCGAGGCCCGCAAAACACUUGAACUAAAAGAGGCAACAAUGAAGCAUUAAAGAGAUUCUCCGGGGGAACUGAGGCUUCAAAAGAAAGGAUAUGUUAACAGCACUUGCCUGAAAUGGUUAUUGAUUUUGGGCUCAUGUGAAACAAGUACAGACUCUUUUAAUAAUUUCGUUGCACAAUCCCUCGAUUUAAUCUGGUCAACAGGCAAAACAAUCGAUACAUUUUCAUCUCCAUUUGUUCACGGUUCUGUAACGUCUGCUCUCAUUUCCAACAGUCUUCAUCCAGACCAAACCCAUAUCUUAGCAAGAUUUUCCCCGCUUCUGCCUGUAUUAGGGUUUUCAUCACUUUUCCCUCUGUGCUGUCAUUUUGUUAUUGCUGCCUGUGUUGGUGUGUGUAUGCAUUUUAUUUCCAUUUGUGUGUGGACUGAUGUCUCUGUUGGCCAGAAAGGGUAAAAUAUGACUCAAGGGGGCUAGAGCUAGGAUUUAGAUUGGGCUAUUAUUUAGAUUGGGUUAAGCUAAUAAUGAUGAAUGCUACAGUUUAAUAUUUCUAUAAAAAUUCUGAUAUUGGAAGUGAUGAAAUUUUAAGAAAUAGUGGUACAGUUAGGAAGUCAUGCAGUGCCCCAACAUUGUGUUCUUGCUCUCCAGGAUAACAUGUUAAACUUGGUUUUACAGCUGGAGUACAGAGACCAAGAGAGAAAUCCAUAUCCCCUUAUGCAAUCCACCUUCCUGACGUCAAUCACUUCCAUUUCUUUUAAUUGGUUAAAGGUUAUUUUUAGAGCUGUCCUCCAACACAUCUUGGCCAACUAAAACAAUGAUGAUGUGCUCCAUGUAAAUUUGCAUACACAGCUCUGCAACAGAAGGAUGGCAGAAUCAACAGACUGUAAAACUAAAUGAAGGAAUCUACAUCUAAAAACCACAAACACUACAAAAACAUUUAGGGCCUGAUUAACUAAAGGUUGGGCGCAAAGAGGAUUGUGUCUGUCAAAUUAGCAAAACAGCACACACAAUCCAUUUAACGUGUUUGUCUUUAUGAAUAUGUAGAAUGUAUUAAGAUUAUCAUAACAAGCAAAAUGUGCACAAUGUGAUUUAUGAAACCCUGACGUAGUAGAUAGUAGAUCACCCGUAACACACCCACAAAAACAAGGUUUUACUGUCAACAUUAAUGUUAACUUGCGUCGAUUUUAAACAGAUUGAAUUUAAUGGAUUCAUAGUUAACAUAGUUAUAUUUAAAAUGAAAUAUUCCCACCUCCGGUUAUUGCAUUAUCAGUCAGCUGGCUUCACAUUAACUGGACAUUCUGAUGGUAUCACUGUAAUGGUUGAUUCAGUUUCAGCUAAUCUUUCUGAAUCAAAUGCUGCCAAGAUGUGUGUGCCUAUUUUUCUGAUGAUGUCUAACUUUUUCUUUUUCCUUUCUUUCAACAAAAACUGAGCUUCUGCUGGUUUACGGUCAGAAUUACUGUUCAGGUUUUGCACAAAAACCUUCAAGCGAGCUGUAUCCUAUUUGCAGAUUGUAACAGUUUGUUGAACAUAGCAAACACUGUCCUGCGGGAUCUUUUCAGGGGCAAUGCACAACCAUUUAUGGCAUCUUAAAAGGUCAACAUUGGGCAGCCAGAACAGUCGCAUUGCUGCCAAAUCUGUUGGACCAACGAAUCCAGUAACACAGCCAAUGUGCUGCCUGAGAUUGGCAAGUGCAAACCUGUCAGCUGAAACUCUAUCAUAUUAUUUAUCGACUUCAUGUCUGUGUUAUAACACAAUAAGAUGGUAACCAUGGUCACCAAAGUGUUAUUGCAGACAGAUCUCCCAGGAGCUUUACUGCUGCCUCCCACCACAAGUUUCAAACCACUAAGUGUGUGAGAGAGAGCGAAAAGAAAACAUGAAUUAAGGACACUUGGAGAUGGAUGGACAGACCCUUCAGUGAGUGACUAGCACAGCGGGCAGAGUCUCCUGAUACAUGUCGAUGUACGGCUGCAGUUUCAUCUUUGAUAGACCCCCUUCUUGCUCUCUGACAGGGGGACUCGAGCAAAGAGACGUAGGGUCCCCAAAUUGCCUCACCUAACCUUGGCAAUCUCCAGCCAGCCUGCGCCUCUCCAUUAAUGUGCUGAUAAAUGACUUCCAUCAAGCACGCAGAGACCAGCUCCCUGCGCCAGUAACUUGGCCACUUGUCAAUUAUGAUUAUUAAUCUGUUGCGACCCUACCAUACCACCACCCCACCUGCUACAAGCCCCCACCGGCCCUCCUCUCCCUAGACUUGAUACGGCCUGCUUGUCAGUUGCUAAAUUAAAUUACUUUGGAAUAACUGAUGGCGUGUCCAGAUCCAUCGCUCCGAUAGCAGCAAGCAUGCUCCUAAUCCCCCCUGCUGUUGGCUGCACUGAAAACAGGGGGAUAUUUAAAUCGAUGAGGGCUCAUAUUGGUUCUGACAGGCUUGGCUUUUGUUAGGUGGGGCAAGAUGACAACUCCUUAUCGACUGCAAGGGUGCUCUGAGAUUCAUCGAAAUGCUGUUUCUAUUCAGGUGCCAUGUGCUUUUUUCUCUGCUGGAAGAUUCUCCAAACAGGCUCCAAAUCAAAAGGAAACUCUUGACAGACUUUGUACCCAAGCCGCUAAUUAUUGAGGGUCAGCACACUAAUGCGUGUCUGCAGAGCCUGUCUCCCUCCAUACUCAUGCAUAAUGAAGACAUUUCUGUAACCUAGAGAAUUAAGUAUGCUGUCUUCCUCAGUUCAGCUUUUCAGUUUUCACUCUACCACCCCUAUCCUCCUCCUAAACACAUCUUGUCUUAGAUGUACAUUUUGUAACUCUGUCACUCUGCUUGUUCUCCUUCAAACGCAUGCCUCAUCCCAGGAGCUCUCUGUCCCGGCAUUCCCGUCCCUAGCUGCCUCAUUAAUGAACUGUAAAUACUUUUUGCUAUGCAGCAAAAUUGAUUGACUGGCGAACCAACAGCACUGGGUGGCUCCAGAGGAAACAAGAAAAAACCAAGACUUAUGUACCGGGAAGAAAGAUAUUUUAUGUAGGAUUGGUUUACCACUGGCUUAAUUUGAAACUGUCUUUCCUGUGAAGAUAUUGGAGACAUGAACAUAAAAUUUAAUUGUGUUGAUGUCAGGACAGUACCAAGUAUAUAUAGUAUCUUGUCUGAGCAUGUUUGCCCGGUAUUAGCUUUCCUCUGUCGCCUUGUCCCUGCACACUUGGACUGCAAAUCCAAUUAAUCGAACAAAAACCAGACUGUGUAUCUCUGACAGGGUGUCAUAUUUACAAUAGCCUGGCUGUCUGAAGUGUGAUGUCUCCACUGCUAAGUCACGGCCAGCCAAGUCUCUGUCAGGGCUCCCAUAAGAAAAAAAAAAAACCUUAUUCAAAGCUCCAAACACCAUAGUACAUUAAAGGAAGCUUGAAGCAGAUCGCCCUGAGGCAAGAUAUCACCCUCAGCCUGCCUCUUUAGGAGAAUAAUGAAUGGAUGGCAUAACUAAUCCCACUGCAAAUUUACAAAAAAAAAAGUAUAUCUAGUUGGAUAUGUAAAAUGUCUCGCUCUAAGUGAGCUGACCAUCUCAUCUCUUUUACAGAAAGCUCUCAUAAGUGCCGGUAGUGUUUCCCCUCAGGAGGUGAUAAAAGUGAGAGCAAAGAAAUUAAACUGGACUGGUGUUAACACAAAUCCUAAGAUUACCUCAUUUGUAUAAAUGUAGAUUUGCAGCCUCCUGUCCUGUUUUGAAGAGAAAAAACAGCGGUGGAUGAAUAUCUGUAAGCCACACUUGGGCAAAAGUGCAUUUCACACUGAACCGAAAGUUGGCUAUCUAUACAACAUAAGCAGAAAUCUAAAUCAGAUGUUUACUGUAUUCAAGCUACAAAAGUAUAGUUUCUUCUAUUGGUUGUACUUGGGUAAAAGUCAAAGUACAACUGGUGCAGUGUGAAGAAAUGGGAAUCUUUGACAAUGAGAUUCUAGAUGGAAACACUUUCCUGCUCAACCAACUUGACAGUGAGGUGACAGUGAGGUGGCUGAGGACAAGAAGCUCCCUGUAAUGUAAAAUACAGUAUGAUCCUCCAUUUGCCAAGUUUUUACUAUUUGAAAUGUCUAUCAGAUUCUUUGGUAACACUUUACAAUAACCAUAAUUUAUAAAUAGUAAAUAGAUAGUUUAUUAAUGUUGAAUCAACACUUCUAAACAUUAUAUAGACCAAUUAUAAAUGGCAAAUAGAUAGUUUAUUAAUGUAAGUUAAUAGUUACUUUACCAUUAACAAGCAAUGAAAUUGUGAUUAAUAAUUUUCAUUAAUUAUCAACAGACUAUUUAAAGGUUUAUAUAGGGUUUACAUAUUGGUUGUAAAACAUCUAGAUUAAAAUGUGUAUCAGUAGCACUUUGUAAAUGGUUAAUAUUUGUUUUUUUAAACCAUCUAUAAACAUUACUUAGAUGGUUAUUGUAAAGUUAGGGUUAGGUUUUUAAAACUACAAAAUUUACAAUUUAAUUAAUGGUCUAUAUGCUAUUUAUAAAUGAUGAUUAAACAUUAAUAAACUAUCUGCUUAAUAUUUAUAAAUGGUCUAUUUACCAUUUAUAAGUUAUGGUUAUUGUAAAGUGUUACCGAUUCUUUUGUACAUUGGCUGCUAUCCUCUUCUUUGUUACCCAACUGGUGCGUUUUGCACGACCACUCUCUAAAUACAAAAAACAUGCAUGUUAUGACUGCAAGAUGACAACCUCUUUGGAAGAACCCACUACUAAAAUGCUUCUUCUAAGUUACAGAAAACACAUGAUUUAACUGAUUUAAAACAUGCGUAUGGAUAAUUUAUUCCAUUUCUACCAAGUCUGUUCUGAUAAAUGCUAUUAAAUGCUUCAAGUUGUACCUUUAAGGAUGUUAAUCGUGGUCAAAAAUUUCUGGAAAUGUGAACUGUAUUUUUACUGUUGUGGAAAGAAAAUGGAGCUACCGGAAGAUCUUGAUAACAAAAGAGCUUAUCAUCAACUAUUCAACCUUUGCCACGUAAUGUUUUUAGUAUAAUAGAAGAACUGCCACUCUUUCACUGGAGAAGCUGGUAUUAAUACAAAUGAAGUCUCUACCUCUGUCAUGUAUCCAGUAUCACCACUGAGUGAUAUUCCACUCACGUGGUCCUUACCUGCUCUCAUCUGACAUGUCUGGACUUGGCUUAAUGGAUAAACCGGGCUCUGAAAUCCUGUGAUUUCACUUGUUAUUCUGUGAUGUUUUUAGGCUUGUCUGCAUCUACAGUGUUGAAUUACUGUUAUUCUCAGGCUUUGACCACUUAGUUUCCAUUCAUUUUAAAGGCAUAUUUUCAGUUUUCAGAACAUUUUGUAGGUCUAGAGCUGCUAAUGCAAAUGCUAUGUCUUUGUAAAAUGCUAUUUUAUCAGCGCAAGUAUACCGCACAGAGAGUACCUUACUUAGCACAGACUUAAUGGUCACUCCUAAGGGAAGAGGUUUUAUUGCAAAAAAAUAUCCUUAACCUUGCAACUGGAAGUGUUUGGGAGAAGCUCUCUGAAAUUGAGAUUUUAGACUGCCAAAGCAAAACCAGCUGUUAUACUGGACCAAGGCCCUUAGUCUGCCAGACUCUCUGAUGAAGGCAGUAGCAUUCAUGGUGAUGGUCUGAUACUUAAAAACAACAAACUGUUAUUCAACCUCCCAUGCAUAAAUACACAACUUUACAGCAGAAAUACAGAUAAACAGCCGUAUACUUAUUGCAGUCUAUACAGGCUGUUUCUUUGUUCAUUAUAGAGAGCAUUACAUACUCUUGUGCGGCCUUGCUUAUAGUCCAACUCUCCUGUCCUCUCUCCUGUUGUUGUAUUUCAGCUGCAGUUCAGUCAUAUUUCAAAGCAGUCUGCUGAGAUUGAUUCCUGGUUCAAAGGCGAGAGGAUGGCGGGGAAUGGAAAUAAAAAGACACAAGCUGCAGACAUGAGUAGCAAUUGUCUAACUAAGAUUAAUGCUAUUUUGUUGUCACAGAGCUAAUAUAGCAAAACCUAAAAUAAAAGUCAUGCUGUAAAAUACUUCAGGUUGAUAAAGUACCAUCCCAUUAUCAAGAGACACAGCUCUUAGCUGAUCCAUUAACAGUACAUUAGUGGAGUAUCUUUUUUUUGGCUCUUAAUGACUCUUACAACCCAACGAGCUUCAAAUAAUUGUAAUGAUAGAGUAAUGCCGUUGUAACCCUCACUCGUUUUUUUUAAGUAUGACAUAAACCUUUGCAGCAAAAUGACCGUUAUUGCUGUGUUUUAAGGGGCUCUUCACACAGAUGUUUCAGUGCAUAAAGAGAGGAUGUCCUGCUGCAAAAUCCCACUAAGAGGAUGACCUGAAUGUGUGGAAACAUGCUAACUUCAUUGGGCAUCUAAUGGACCCAAACAGAAUACAGAUACAGUGGUUUCACUUUGCACUGGAAGUCAUAUAAAUGACUACUUGCUGAGGCAUUAUACCAAUGUUUAAUGAUGCUGUGUCACUAUUCUGCACAAGCAUUAUGGCCUUUUUUUUUUUGUUCCUUUAGGUUCUCUUUUUUCUGUUGCUGCGAGUGCUGAAAUCCAGCUUCAUCUCUGUGCAAACCUACACAGCCUUGCUCCCACUGAACUGUCAUUUAUUAUGUAAGAUACAGAGAAAGGCGGGAGUGAUGAUUUAAUCAGAAUGAAAGGUUUUUAUUCUCUGUUUGGACUUUGCAACACGCCUUAGGUUCUACUCUGAGAGAUGUCCAUGGCUUAACUAUGACAUGAUUUGUUUCAUAUUUCAUUAGGGUACACUGUUGCCUAGUGCCUGCUGAAGUUUGCUAACAAUGCAGAGUGGGAAUGUAAAGCGUAACAGAGAUAGGGAGGCGGUAAGGAAGUGCAUGAAUCUGUAAUAAGGUACGAUCUGUUAGGGAAGGAUGGUGGGGGAAAUAGUGAGCGGGGAAGAGCUUAAGUGCAUCGUUGACAAAUUGUCACCAUGGCAUCAAAUUGCAUGUUGGGAAAAGGAGUGGAGAGGAGACACUGUGAAAGUGUAACCUCUGAGACAGAGGAGGGCGAUCGUGUGGAGACAUUUUUAAAAUAAUACAUGACCCUACAAAUAAAACAGAAGAGGAAGGACUUAGAUGGGACAAGAUUUACAGGAAGGGUUAAACCUCAAUCAUUUGGAGAACACUCCUCUUCCUCUUUCCCUCCUACCCCAGGUGACUAAAUAGACUCUUGUCACCACACCAGAACAGGUUAUCAAGGUAUGAAGCCAGAAUAUUGUUUAUCAGGGAUGGUGUUUUCCUCCCUCGAAGAUAAGAGGAUUAGAAAAAGUAACAGAUGUGAUACCGUUCCCUCAAGAGACUGUUACGAUAUUAUGAUGAGAAUUUGACUAAAUUAACUUUAAAAAUGUACAAACUUUUUAUACACCUGAGAUCCCUGUAAUUUUGUUUUAUCCUCAAGGGUACAUCAUUCAUCAAAAUAACUAAUACACCAGAUGUGCCUCUCUUAAAUACACUUCAGAACUUGAAAGUUACAGUAAAUAAGUUUUAUCAUGGAUGAACAAAGAAGCGCCUCAGACCUCUUUGCUGACAGGCCUACGUGAUGUUCUCUGGUUAAAAUACCUCAUCCUGCUUUCCUUUAUGUGAAAUACAUUACAGGUGGGUAGAUUGUAGCUGUUUGCAUGGCAGCAGUGACCUCAAAAUCACCUUUUUGUAAAAAUCGAGACUGGAUGAAAAUUACAUGGGGUCAGGAUUUCCAACAUGAUGGCUGUCAUCUUUUGAAUUUCAUAAUGCCAGUAUAUGGAUUUUAAGCUGAAAAGCUCUCUGUAAUUCUGUGUUUAUUUUCUCCACUUCCUGAAACCAACAAUGCACAGUAGCUACGCAAUCCUCGUACGCCCAUAGGCUGUAUCAAGUGUCAAUCAUAGCCCCCUAAUAACUUUUAAAAAUGGAGCUGUACAGAAAAAAAGAGGACUUGAGCACAAACCAGUCUGACAAUAACUUUAUGUCAACAACGCAAGCAGGGGGGAGAAAAAAAUUAUAUUCUGCGUAAUAAAUUUCUAAGGUUUGUCCACAUCUUCAUAGGGAUUGCUGGAGGAGGCAGGAUUUAUGACCCAUACUGCCUGUACAGUAGAUUUCAAAGAUGCAAAUGUGCAAAAAUGUACUACACGAAGAUAGAAUCAAGCUGGCAGCCUCUCGCAGGAUUUUAUUUUAGUUACAGCAUCAAACACAACUCAUGACAAUCAGAAGGACAGUGGAAGCCCAAACAAUCCCCCGAAUCCCUACCACUGUUCCUUCUUAUACUUCCCAAAUGGCGUCAUUAGUCCUAUUCCCGGAAACGGCCUUCACGUUGGUAUCUGAUAGCCAACCACAUGAUUUCUUCUGUACACAUUUUUUUGUUGGCCAGCUCUGCCCAAUUUCCCCUCUGGACAGCUGAAAGUUCACCAUCACCUGGACUCUCUCUGGCUGUAUCCUGUAUGCAGUUUUGCGAUAGCUUUGCUCCAAAAACAUGUCUAUGAUUCGCUCCCACACCCGUCACCAGGGUGUGCUGUUCUCAGGAUGGUCUCACCAAGCGAGGAGGUAGACGCUGUCCAUUCUAUAUACAGUCUAUGAGAUUUCCAACAUGAUGGCUGCCAUCUUUGGAAUUCAUAGUGCCUGUGUAGAAACCGAUGAGUGACAUCACUGAGUCUAAGUCCAUAAUAAGAGCUAUGAGAUCCCUGAUUUAAUGAUGUGACUCCUCAGCAAACAUGAGUCCCAGGUUUACAGAGGGAUGACGUUUAAGUCACAGCAGGUAGAAGUUCUUUAUUGUUUGUUUUGCAGCGCAACGCUGAGGUCUAUCCUCAUACAUGCUAUACUCUGGUGACCUCACAUUGUAUGCAUGAACAAAUACAGGUCCCCUGGAUUUACACAGACCUUUAACUCUCUCUCUCUCGUAUUGUUUUUCUUCCCAUGAUUACAGGAGCACACAAGAUCACAAUCGAUGUACAUUCAAACAUUCAUGUGGCUCUCCCAGAGGUCUCAGGAGGCAGAUAAAUGUCAUGCUGAGCUUAUCAACGUUGUUUGGUUUGAACUCCACUGCUACUGUUAUUUACAUUGACAUUUAUUGAUCUCUAAGCAUGAGAGGUGUGGGAAGGCUGAGUUUUCCAUUACAGGUUGAAGGCUUUAUCUUCAGAUACAGUUUAAUGUUGGUUGCUGACUUUGUUUUAUCGGUUUGUAGAUAUGUUGAAAUGCUCAUACAAGUCCAAGUCCCACCGAUUUGAUGGGAAAUCAAAUAAAUGAGAGUCAUGGAGCGUCUGCAAAGGUAUUCAAGCACAGAGUGACAUGGGUGGUGUAUCUUAGGUGCUAAUGUGAAUCUCUAAGAGAGACUGUCAUGCAGGGACAAAAAAGGUUGCUUGCAGCUGAUAUGACAUCCUGGUAUGCUUAAAGAAAAAGGUGCAGAUACACCAAGAGAUUCAAUUUCCCAUACAUACCAAGCUCAUUUCAAGCACUACAUACUCUCAGUUAGAGAUGGGAUUGAUGGCUCUUUGAAGGGAACUGGAUCUUGAGGAGCCGUUCGAAAGACUGGCUCAUUUAAUUUAAACAACCCACCAAUAUAUAUUCUUUUGGUGGAAAUUAUUCAGAAACAUUAAUUAUGAUUUCAUUUAGCUUGUGUUGUCAUUGUAGAGAGAUCACUAUUUUGAAGUUUUCUCUUACCCGAAAAACUUUGUGGUACAAUAAAAACUACGCAAGCUACAGAUAACAGAUAAAAAAUUAAGACAUGAUAAAUGUGAAUGCAAAAUUGUAUAGCCCUACUUGGUAGGGUGACCAUAUUCUGAAUCCCCAAAAAGGAGGACAUGACUACGCAGGGGCGGAGUCGCACAACAUUAAUCUUGAGAGUUUUUGGGUUGGAUUAAGUGUCUUUUACGCGCUUCUAACUCAAUAAGUCCAUGUGACACAAACUUGAAACUUCUGUAACCGCAGACAUUUGAAGGAUUUUAUAAACUUCCCUGGAUAGAGCCGGACAAAGUUGGACAGCUCCCCAAAAAAGAGGACAUGUCCAGGUAAAAGAGGAUGUAUGAUCACCACCCUACUACCUGGCAUUUGGGGCACACAGGUGACACAUAAAUGUAGCGUGGGCAAUUUGCAUAUUAGAACGUUUUGAAAACAAACACCUCGCCACUGUGAACCAGUUCUAAUCAUUCACUUAAAAGAGCCGUUCAAAUGACUGACUCGUUCACAAACGUCACAUCUCUACUCUCAAAAACAUUUAACAUCUCUGAGAGCUUCAAUUAAACUCUGUGACACACCCAAUAAGGUUUGUCUCAAUAUUUGCAAAAGAAUUAAAAGAUUUUAAACCAUUCUUAUUUGUUUGACACAUUUUGACUAUAAAGAACUUGAGAGAAAUGAAACUGUUGAUAUAAUAUGACAACGUGAUUACAAGGAUCCUCAUUUGAUUCGUCUUAACUCUCAGCUCUCCUUAUCAGGGAGAAGAGCAGUCUCUUUAUUCUUUUCCCUGCAGUGUUCAUCAGUGCCCCAGUAAAGAAGAUGGCUUUGUUCUUGCACUUAUACAGUGCACUUAUACUUAUGCAUAAUCUAUGUCACCUCUGCUUAAAGAGGAGGAAGAAAAGCAGUGCUUAAUGCCUGGCGGCAGCUAUGCAGCAGGUAGCAACACGAGUCCUUGUAAGAGUUCAGACUGCUUCAAAAUUUCACACAGCCACUUUGACACAAUUCCACUAAAUUACAGCCUGAAUGACUCUUAAUGACAAAGACCUCUAAUGGCAAAGAGCCUGCCUCGGCACAGAGACGAGGAAAUAAGGCAUUGAUUGAAUGCUGGAAAUGACGCACUGGAUUUAUUGAGAUAAUACAUUCCUCAGCCAUGCUUUCUAUCCAUUAAGAGGAAUUACUUAGACUGUAAUGAGCAGGAUAUUAUCCAGAGUGAAGCUAUGGAUGGAUGCCUCUAUCUGCAAAAGCUCCAAGAUAACAGGCAAGUGACUUGGGGUGAGGUGAUGUCAUGACAAUUAACAAUGCUCAUUGUUACAUUUACCAUGAAUAAACCAAGCUCCAACCAGACAUAGAUGGUUCCUGGUCGGAAUAAGUGAAUAUAGCUCUGCAAUCCACAGCAGUAUCAGACUACUUUGAAUGUUAUAUGUAGAUUAAAGGCAUGGUUGACGAUUGGAGAGAUUGGUCAUUUUUAUAAACCUCGUUUAUAUGGCGAUCAUGGUCCUAUAGUGCGAUCUCCACAAAGCAAAGAGAAAAAAAGAACGGAAAAGAAAAAAUGCAUUCAUCCUAGCAAGUGCAGGGCUGCAAAAACAUUGACCAAUGGGAGCCAUGCGUCCCGGACAACUCCCAUUGGUCAAUCUCCUACUCCGCCUCUCCAUCCAAUCACCUGCAUUCAACACACUCCCGCUGUUCCAACUCGUCCCCUCCCACUCUUCCGGCCCUUCUUAGAGCUCUGAGCAGCUAAAAGUAGCAUAGCAGCUUAGCUACAUGAGCUGUGACGAUGAAGGACGCAAAAUAAAACUAAUUUUUGCCUCUCAUUGUGGCACGUUACAUAAAUAACUCUUAUUAGUCUCUGCAUUGUCAACACGGUAGCUGUCCAGGCAGCUGCAGACGGUACUCGCUAGCAGAGCUGGCAUUUACUGCUGCUAGUCACUAGCAAUCCAAUAUGGUGAAUCCUAUUUGAAGCUAGCGUAGGAUUUUCUGUCGGCCGGCUUCUUGCUCUGCCAGAGGGGGUGUGUCGUGGGGAGGGUGAUAGAGGUUCGGGUGGGGGGUGGUUUGAUUGAUUUUUCAAAUUGCGUCAUCUUCAUGCCCCAACCCCCUAAAGCUCCUGGACCUUUGAAAAAUACUACCCCAUGGCUUUUUUAAGGGGUACAUCAAUUACCCCAUCAAUUAAAUUUAGACCCUGGUACAUGCUUUGAAAACCCACAUAGUUCCUCAUAAGGUUCCCAGUGCCUGGGUAAAGUCCCUGCUGUUGAAAAGUAGCCAUGCAACUGCAGGUUGAGCUUAUACCCUACAGGAUUGCAAACUCCACAUGGCAAAAACAGAUGGAGCUACAAAGAGCUGUGAACAAUGUUGAACAUAAAACAGACCACAUCUUCCAUACCCAGGUCUCUCAUGAUCAUCAUAAUUGCUCAAGUGUUGCAAUAGGUUCUAUUCAACCCUUAAUGAAGACUCGAGGUGCAGCAUAAAGGAUCUGCACUCUGACAAGACAAAGGCAAACAGAUUGGUCUCGGUUACAAAAGUCCUUACUGAAUAAAUUUAACAGACAAAACAAACAAACGUCUCAGUCCAUCCUUGAUUUCUUUGUAAUGCUUUCAACGUGCACCCUUCUACAGUGGUUACUAUACAGGUCCCUCAUUGAGGACUGGGCAUCUCUAAAGCCUACGGAUGAACUGUGAAUGCAAAAAACACCUGUUACAUUACCAUAAAGGAUGACAUCCCACAUUCUUAUACUGAUAUAAAUACAAAUGAAUGUUCAGGCACCUAAUAUAGGAUACACUUGCACAGUAUCAUAGUGCAGAUCAAGUCUGAGUCCUCAGUGCUUGAAUCAGUACAUAACAUCAAGACUUGUUAUAUAUUGGGCAUAUAUUUUAGGACUUGCUUUGUAACAUUUUGUUCUAGUUUUUUGAGCAAAAGUUAGAAAAUAUGUGAAAAAGACUCUCCUGGAUUGCUAAAAUGUAAAUCACACAUUCACAACCCAUUUGAUUAACACGGGCUGUCACCUCUACAUAGAACUUUUUAUAUUAUCAAGGUAGAGAAUAUGCACAGUAAGGUUGAAUCUCUGAAUAUUAAUACACGUAAAAGUAGUAGAGGACAUACAGUAACCUUACUCCCUGAAACAUUUCAUAGUUCACAUGUCUGUAGCGGAGCUGUACAAUUUUAUAAACACCGCACAUCACUCUGGACUUGGAAGCCUUUUUCUGAACUUGGCAUUUAGACUCUGUCAACAUUUUCAGUCCUGCUGUGCCCCUGUGAUAUCUUCCUGUGUCUUAGAUCUAUUUCCAUUACACGACACAGAGAGUAGAUGUUUGACUGAACUCAAAGGGCAAUUAUACCAUGUUCUGCAUAUUCUCUUGAACUUCUUCCGGUCACUUCGCUCAAAAUCUUCAAAGCACCUGGUAAGAAGAGAUUUCAAUCAGCUCCCAGCACUCUCGCUUCAUUAAAUCGGAAAUGGAGAACAAGAGCUUUCUCAGACAGAUUACAUCAAAAUAAUGAGUUCUUUAAAUUGCCUAUCACAAACUUCAACUAUCAAGUUAUUUGUACGGCGGCAGUUCACUGUAGUUCAAACAAACUGAAAGACCCAUUAAUUCCUGCUGUCUGGACUCUUAAUAUACCGAGGCGCUGAGGUCUACUCUGCAGGACGUGCCUCUAUCAGCAACCACAUGAGGCUGCAAAGCACAUGAUGAGCAAGAUACCACUGUUAAAGUCAAGAUACUUGAUAGACAUUUAACCUUUUAACUUUUAAUUCUUUUAAAUUAAUUCUAGGAAAUAACAACUCAAAUAUUUUGAGAUUCUGGGUUUCUGGUUGUUGUGAACAUUUUUCCUGAAAACUUUUAUGCAUGAUGGCACUACUUGUGAAGCUCUCAAAUGUUUUUAAUCGGAAACCUGAUAAUCUUCAGAGGACUGUUGUCUUGUUUAUUGUACAUUUUACCCCCAAUCUCCACCGCAUCCGGAAAGACUACGAAAAGGCCAUAUUCGCCGAUUGUAGCUGAUCGUAACCAUUCAAGUUAAUGUGUCAAUUUCCACCGCCUUCUUUCCGUUCCGCGGUGGAUCGCCGGACUCCGCAGCUGAUCGCAAGAGUUCUACUUUUUCCGGAUGCCGGAGCAUGCAAGAUAAAUUCAGCACAGAUUAAUAUGUAAACGGGCGGGGAUGAGCAAGUGAAAGGUUAGCCUUUGUGGCUAGAGACAAUUUGUUAUCACCCAAUUGCAAGUGAAUCCACGGCUGCUUGUGAGUUCUCGCGAUUCCCGGUGUCCGUAAUCCACCACGAAAUUUGCCACACAAACAGAUCCGGUAGAAAUUGGCGGACGACAAAAAUCGCUGCCAUUUCGGAUUGGAGGCUUUCUAGAUACGGUGCAAAUUGGGAGUUAUACUACCACUCUUUUCCCUUUUAGUAAAGUUUUUUAUUAAUUUGGUGUGGUACAGCGCUGUAAAGAGCCAGCUUUUGGACAGCAAAUUUAUACUUUCUUAAUACUGAUUGAAAAUGUUUUAAGUGGAAUAAAAUGAGAUAAAUAAAAUAAAGUAAAAUUACAAUAUUUAAUUUAUUUUAUUUUAUUCCAUUAAAACAUUUUUGUAUAUGUCUAAUAAGUCUGGAAAAAGAUAAAUUGUUUUUAAUUUUUUUACUUUUUCAUAGUAUUCCAAUUACUUGAGUUGCACCUGUACUUAAAAAAACAAAAUAACCAAUCCUUAUCAACCUCUUAAAAGAAGUAUGACUGUUGGUUUUGUUUUGGCAUUGAGUCCUGGUAAUAUGGGUGUAAUGAUGCACCCAUAUCUCUGACUGCCACAUAAUGUAGACAGACACACUCAUCACACUACCUCACUUGGCGCAUUAAGACCACAAGAUAGAGAACAACAGAAAUGCUGCUGGCAGGGUGUCUAGAUCAUCAUUUUUACGUGUUUUGGCAGUUCUCAUUGUACGGAUCUUAUCACUUAAAAUAAAAGGGUCAGCCACCAUGAACCAGAGCAAGGAACAGCCAAGAAGGCUUCAGUCUAGCCAGUCUGUAUCCUUAUCCGUAAUAUGAUAAGAUCUCAAUGUCAGCAGUAUCAUCUGUCUGUGUAAAUUAUCUUUAUCAAGAAGGUUAAAGGGACGCUUCAGGAACACUUACAGGUGUAAUCUCAUCUAAAUGAAUCUGCCUUAACCUGAGUGUGAAAUGUGUUCAGCUGCCUCUGAGAAGAGAUCAAAGACCUAAUUGAAAAUUACAGGAGAGAAGUUAAAGGUAGGAUUACAUGAUUACAGGAUUACACAUUAAUCAAUUUUGAAUAGUACGCUUAGAUCAUACUUCUGGUUUCUCUUUUCAAACAUUUCAUUCCAGUUCGUUCGCUUAAAUCUUCAGGGAUCGGGGUGGGGGGUGGGGAUUAACAUCUGUGUUUCACAUAAACACAAAAUUAAAAUAACUCUUAUGGUGCGUUCACACCAAGCACGUAUAGAAUCAUCCAUGCAAGUCGAUGACAUGUUAAGUCAGUGCAAAUCAGAUGCGAUUAGACGCAAGUUCUUCUAGGGUGACGCUAAUAAGUUGCAGCGAGUAGCACAGAUUGAGAGGACUGUUUACAUGAAUUACUCGAAUUCGCAUCACAUCUGACACGUUACUCGCUUCAAACACUUAUUCACAAGAGUUAAAAAAUCUGAACUCGGGGGACUGUUUGCACCCUGAUAACCAAUCAGCGUGGAGAUGCCCUGGUGAUGUAAGUCAAGAACAGACCAGCAGAGAUUCAUCCAUUUGGAGGAGUCAGGAGUCAGGAGUAAAAAAGAGCUCAGCUGGAGGAAAGUCAGUGAGGUGGUCUGAAUAUUUUACAAUGUGAUCGACCUCUGCUAUGUUCGAUGUAAACAGUCUGACCUGACACGCAGAAGCCCCUCCUCUCAUGUGUGUUUCGGCACUCUGCAGAUGUAAAAUAAAUACAUGAAUGGGGCAAGUCAUUCGCACAAAUCAAGCGAAUAAACACACAACAUUCCCACGUCCAGAAAUGCAAGUAGAUAAUCUUAUUUGCGCUUGGUGUAAACGCAUUAGACUACAGUGAAUGACUUUAAAUGAUCUCAAACAAGACGUCAUGACUUGAUUUAUAAAAUCGCCAGUUUUUUCUUUAACAAACUUAAAAACUCAUGGUUUCCUGUUUCAUUCCCAACCGUUAGACUCCAUUAAACAGACAGCUUUCAGCCUGUUUGAACAGUCUAACCUUACAACAUUGACACCAGUGUAAAAAGUUUACAAAUCCACUCCUGGGGUGCUCUCUGUGAGUGCUUAUCUCAGGUCUUCUUAACCUUUAGCCUUAGAGUUUAACUAAUCUUUACAUGAUCAAUAACAGUUCCCUCCAGGCUCUCUCACCUUCGCAUGAGAGGAGAAGUUCGAGCCGUCUGUCUGUGCAGGGAAAUCAUUCAUUCCUGUUGACUCAAUGUCAGAGUUAGGAGCUUUAAAACACCUGCCUGUGCAGCAAAGUUCCAGGCUUUGGGAGGACUAACUCUCAAUCUUUGAAAAGUAAGAGGAUCUUUAUACUACAGGUGAGGCUUUGGGGCACAGAAGGAUUUGUUUUGGGGCCUCUUAACUCAUAAUCAUUUGAUUUCAACUUUAUGAGGUAUUGUUUGACAGAUUUAAUCUUUUACAUAAAAUCUUCAAUAUUUUUUUUGAUUUGGUCUCAUUUUGAAACACACCUGCAAACUGAGACUUCACACUGUAAGUCUUAGUAUCACAUUGACAUCACCCUCAAACUUUAAGUUUGGUAUCUCUGUCAUGUAAAUCUUGGUUUCCUGGCGCCAAAAGUAACAACAUUCAGCCUAUGCAUGUCUGCACAAUGAUCCUGAUAAAUGUAAAUCUCUGAUUUCUACUCUGUCUAUACUUGUACCAUCAAAUUCUCUACCACCUGUUUUCAAUGAUUUUUUAUUUAACACCUAAAAGCACUUUGACCUGCUCUGUGCAUGUAUGAAUUUGUUUUGCCUAUUAACGAAUUGUACUGGUGUAUCUCGCCACCUGCUGAAUUUUAAACCCUGUGUUUACUCUUUCCUAUAAUUGCUUGUUACUGAAAACAGCUGCUUACAGCAAUAAGAGCAUCCGGGUAGGGGAACAAAAACAUCCAUCUAAAACUUAAAAUAAGGCUUUAGAAAAUUCUCUCAGCGGGCGCAUGAUUACAAGUGACCUCAAACAGCAGAACAACGACUACUGUGAAAAAUGAGAACAGUCAGAACUUUGCUUAGCAAGAGAAACAGGUCUACAGGUUAAAGGAGCCCAUUAUGGUUAUUUAAAGGUAAAUAACUUUAACUGAGCUAUCAAUACAUAUUAUUUUCAUUAAAUCAUUAUAGUUUAAGCUCUUAUGAAUUCACAGCUACAGCCAAUGUGCUGUAAAACUGAAUAACUUCAGUUUUGAACUUGUCAAUUUCUUGUGUAAGAAGGACUCAUGCUGCGAUCCACAAGUACUCAGAAGUUGGGAUUUCUGAGCUCUGAGUCUCGAACGUCCCCCUGAACUUGGAUUUCUGAUUCAGAAAGACGGAUGAUCCUCACCAACCCCAACUUGACGAUGACAUCAUAAUCCAAGAUGGCAGCGCAGUACAUUAACAGUACAGUGAAAGCUCUAGGAAUAAAAAUAAUAAGAAUAGAAUAGCUUUAUUAAUCCCUGAAGGGAAAUUCAAUUGUUGUCUGACAUAAUAUGUCUCCAAAAAAGUUAUCUACCAUUAACACAAGAAUUGUGUAAAUUCUAAUUGUUUUAUUUAUUAGCACUUCUGUUUUGUUUCUGUGAAAUUGAAUAAGUGGUAUAUGUUGUACUGCUCAACGUCUAACUGUGAACACUGAGCUAUAGUGUUUGUUAGAGUAAAAUACUGCUUUAUGCGUUGUUUACGACUGGUAUAGCUAGCAACAACUAACAGCUGACAACCGCUAAAAAUGACUGACAAUGGCUAACCACAGCUGAGAAUUUUAAACAACAGCUAACAACGGCUAACAGUAGGCGUCUGUCUUGGUUUUCAACUUGUUAACCAGAACGCCGUCAACCCAGGUGUAACGACAUUCCGACUUCCAAGGUAAUUGGAACGCAGCAUUACACUGGAUAUAAUGAUCAGUUGUGUUUAUGGUUAAAAGUAAAAGCAUGAAAACAUUCAGUUGCUUCUCUGUUUACAGGUUCAAGAAAAAUAAACCAGCAGAAGUGUCUGGUGUUAUACAAUCAGAAUAACUGCAGAUCAAGUAUUCAUAUAUGGAUCGUCACUAUGUGAAAAAAUUGCUUUGCUUUUUGUUUUCUUUCAGUUAUCCUCUGAGCUCAGAAAAGCUGGCUCUGCCCAUCACUAAGAGUGUCCAGGUAGCAGGGGGGAGCAGGAGGAUAUUUGUAAGUUAAACUUGUUUUCAAUAACAAAAACUCCACACUCUUUCUUUUUAAACUAAUUCUGUUCAAAACUUUGCUGACUCACCAAAUGCUGCACAGCAAAAACCAUCUGUUGUCAUUUAAGUUUCAUUUGCAAGUGGAUCGAUCUGGUUUACUGCAACCCAGAUGCUCGGAGGAGAACUGAAAGCUUUUGUCUACUGACAUCUCAGUUCUUCCUCGGGAGCAUUAAUAUGACCCAGUUUCUCAUUGUGGAUUUCUAGGGAUUUAACUGUGCAAGCUAAGAUGCAAUCUUGAGCAGGAACAGAGGCGUUACAGGAAGCAAAAAGUGCCAAGUGACUGCGAUGAAACGGAC
Non-coding RNA from Xyrichtys novacula (pearly razorfish), 24939 nucleotides. NCBI's taxonomy places the organism in Eukaryota, Metazoa, Chordata, Actinopteri, Labriformes, Labridae. The record is from the annotation of a GenBank genome assembly.